This 503-nucleotide ribosomal RNA is filed under the name uncultured bacterium. RNAcentral's name for it is "partial 16S ribosomal RNA". It matches the Rfam family "Bacterial small subunit ribosomal RNA", at positions 899 to 1397 of the family's 1533-position model. The record is from RNAcentral.
ACUCAAAGGAAUUGACGGGGGCCCGCACAAGCGGUGGAGCAUGUUGUUUAAUACGUCACUAACCGUAGAACCUUACCAGGGCUUGACAUCUGUGGACAUCCCAUGAAAGUGGGCUUUCCCCGCAAGGGGACCGCAAGACAGGUGUUGCAUGGCUGUCGUCAGCUCGUGUCGUGAGAUGUUGGGUUAAGUCCCGCAACGAGCGCAACCCUCACCCCAUGUUGCCAGCGAGUCAUGUCGGGAACUCUUGGGGAACUGCCUGGGUAACCGGGAGGAAGGUGGGGAUGACGUCAAGUCAGCAUGGCCCUUACGCCCUGGGCUACAAACAUGCUACAAUGGACGGUAGACAAAGGGAUCCGAGACCGCGAGGUGGAGGCAAUCUCAAAAAUCCGUUCCCAGUUCAGAUCGCAGGCUGCAACUCGCCUGCGUGAAGUCGGAAUCGCUAGUAACCGCCGAUCAGCUAAGCGGCGGUGAAUACGUUCCCGGGCCUUGUACACACCGCCCGU